Molecule: unclassified non-coding RNA, 899 nt
Filed under: Hevea brasiliensis (rubber tree)
Lineage: Eukaryota; Viridiplantae; Streptophyta; Magnoliopsida; Malpighiales; Euphorbiaceae
Source: RNAcentral
AUAAUUAACAGACUGACUGGCCAGUUGUUGCCUUCUUUGUACUAUUUCAUAGAUGAUGAUUGCCUGCAUUUAUGAUAAGAUAAACACAUAUUUUUGGGAUUCCAACUCUUUUUACCUUGUAAGUUGGUUCAUUCUUUAAGUUGCAAGUUGUCUUCUUAAAUUUAAAUUGAGUCUUAGUACAUAUAUAGCUGUAUCAAUUUUCAUUUCAGAUAAUCUAUUCUAGCAGUGGACCUCAUACAUUGUAUUCCCUCAGUAUUCCUCAUAAUUUUGAGAGAGGGACCCAAAUCAUAUCCCUGCCUUACUUAUCUAUCUUAAUAUAUUUGAAGAAGAAUGUAGUCAUUUUAAUAUGAGAGUGUCCCUCUUUUCCUUUCCAAUGUGAAUCUUCUUAGCCAUUCCAACUUUUUGAAAGAUAAAAGAAAGUACAAAAUUGAUGAUAUCUCAGAUCUAGCUUGUGAUUACUUGUGGUGAAGAUGACAAGUAUGAACGUAUCAUUUCUAGCUUCACAUAGUGAGGAAACGCGAUGUGGAAGCUUGUGUUAACAGGCUCUCUGAUAUAUGAUAGUACCUGAACAGAAAAACCAUGUGCAUAACAAACUUAAUUGCAUUUAAUAUAUUUUGGAAGAAUGCUAACUGUAAUUAUUUAGGCGAUAACUACACAUUAAUAAUCUCCUUGUUGGAUAACAUUGAAACCUGUAUUAGGAAGGAAAAAUCCAAUCUCUUUUCUCUCAUCUCUUACUUCACACAAUAAACCAAGAGUUGAGUUACAUUCAGCGGUUUAUUAGGCCUUUUGUUUUUCUGGAUGAGUUGCAUUUAUUUACUGGGACCUUUUAUUCCUUAGUAAUGACUUCUAGACAUCUUCCAUCUUUUUGUCCUUUGCAGCCACGAAUUUUAAUGGCAAUG